UUUGACUUUGAUUGUCACAAUCUCCUUUUCUCUUUUCCAGGACGGGCAGGACCGCGAGUAUGCGGCAUGCUCGCCAUCACAGUUGACACAAUGUGGAGUGUUCCGGCACGUUUCGGAGGAAUGUUCAUUGUCACUGCACUUGGCACAAGUCAGCCGGCCUCGACAGUUCUGUGAACUGUGGCCGAAACGUUGGCACUUAAAGCAUCUGAGAGGAUUGGGAACGUAUGGCCGAACACGAAGUUUGAUAUAACCGGCCUCGAUGGACUCGGGAAGGACACUUGAGCCGAAAUGACUCUAUUUGGACUCUCGAGCUUCAGUGUUUUUGGACAGACAUUUCAAGCGGAGAAUUCCCCUGGCUUUGUCACGCUUCUUUCAACCUUUUUUGUCAGUGUGACAGGCGUCGUUAUUAGGCAAAAUUAAUAAAAUGGUUUUGCGUGCGUCA
This is a long non-coding RNA of Dermacentor andersoni, 442 nucleotides long. RefSeq lists it as uncharacterized. NCBI's taxonomy places the organism in Eukaryota, Metazoa, Arthropoda, Arachnida, Ixodida, Ixodidae. The record is from RefSeq and is a predicted model, not a curated record.